This 468-nucleotide ribosomal RNA is filed under the name uncultured archaeon. RNAcentral describes it as "bacterial SSU rRNA". It matches the Rfam family "Archaeal small subunit ribosomal RNA", at positions 1 to 474 of the family's 1478-position model. The record is from RNAcentral.
UUUCUGGUUGAUCCCGCCGGACCUGACUGCUAUCGGAUUGAUACUAAGCCAUGCGAGUCUUUGUAGUAAUACAAGGCAGACGGCUCAGUAACACGUAGUCAACCUACCCUAUGGACGAGAAUAAUCUCGGGAAACUGAGCAUAAUUCUUGAUAGAUCAUAAUGCCUGGAAUGGUUUAUGGUUAAAAUGAUUCGUCGCCAUAGGAUGGGACUGCGGCCUAUCAGCUUGUUGGUGAGGUAAUGGCCCACCAAGGCGAUUACAGGUACGGGCUCUGAGAGGAGAAGCCCGGAGAUGGGUACUGAGACACGGACCCAGGCCCUAUGGGGCGCAGCAGGCGAGAAAACUUUGCAAUGUGCGAAAGCACGACAAGGUUAAUCCGAGUGAUUUCUGCUAAAGAAAUCUUUUGCCAGUCGUAAAACCGCUGGUGAAUAAGGGGUGGGCAAGUUCUGGUGCCAGCAGCCGCGGUAAU